Molecule: ribosomal RNA, 253 nt
Filed under: uncultured bacterium
Lineage: Bacteria
Description: partial 16S ribosomal RNA
Rfam family: Bacterial small subunit ribosomal RNA
Source: RNAcentral
UACAGAGGGUGCGAGCGUUAAUCGGAAUUACUGGGCGUAAAGCGCGCGUAGACGGUUUUGUAAGUCAGAUGUGAAAUCCCUGGGCUCAACCUGGGAACUGCAUUUGAAACUGCAUGGCUAGAGUAUCGAAGAGGGAAGUGGAAUUUACGGUGUAGCGGUGAAAUGCGUAGAUAUCGUAAGGAAGACCAGUGGCGAAGGCGGGUCUCUGGACAGUUCCUGACGCUGAGGCACGAAGGCCAGGGGAGCAAACGGG